This 1313-nucleotide long non-coding RNA is filed under the name Nicotiana benthamiana. RNAcentral describes it as "long non-coding RNA (NBEN_LNC003341)". Lineage: Eukaryota; Viridiplantae; Streptophyta; Magnoliopsida; Solanales; Solanaceae. The record is from RNAcentral.
CCUACUCAUACAUGACUAUGCUUAUCGCUUAUUAAAUGAAAUCAAUAAAGAUCAAACAACACUAAUAAUUAACGAUUAAAUACAUGGUUAAACCGGAUAUAAUAACAUAUUUUCUAUUAAAAAAAACUAACAACUGAAAUCGAUUUGCAGGGUUUAACGUCCAGACCCAUUCGCCUGGGCCCAUACUUGCUCAAAUGAGUUGUCGGACAUCAAUGUAAGUCUGGCUCACUUCAUGCCUAAUCAUUAUACCAUGAUACUGAUUUAUCACAAAAUAAAGAAGACAAAAGUGUCCAACUGUGGUGACCCUAUACUAAUUAAACAAAAGAAAGAACUGAACUUAAAAGAAUCAUUAUAACAAUCCGUUUGUCCUGCUGAAAGUCCAUAAGUUUACAAAAUAACUGAUAAGCUAUUUUUCAAACAUUUCGUGAUACUAGUGCUUACAAGACAAAUUUUAAAAGUCAUCAAAAGAGAUUUUUUUUUUCUCCUAAGUUCAGGUAUUCUUCUGCUACAAGGUCCUUCAAUAUGGUGCAAACUUGCAAGGAAUCAGCUAUGGAGCUGUUCCUCACAAGUUGAUACUUCGUGCUUCAGACUUGAUUACUUCACUUUGUGGCCACUCACAUACAAAACUAAGGCAACCAUACAGUUAUCAGUAUGUAUAGACAUCCAUAGAUUAGUAUAAAUUUGACUUAAACUAACAAAAAAACAAUUAGAAAGUAUAUGAAAAAGGUUAAUUCAACAAUUAGGUGGGUCUUGUUCAAAUCAUUAUGUAUUUUUUCACAUAAAAAAGCUUGGUUAAGUAAAAUGCUCAAACAUGAUAGUGAGGUAAUAGGUUAAUAUAUUUGAAGGAAUGAUAAUCAUAAGGAAUGAAUAAGAUGGGGUCAGUAAGAGACACUUAGCGAGCAAAAGCUUUUUAUUCAAACAUCAUACCACAUAUUAUAGAAGCCAAAUGGACCUAAAUCAAGCAUGGGAGUCCCAAAAUGUGUACCUUUAUCAACAAAAUAAACGAUAAACGCAAAAUCUCUCUGAACAAAACUGGACUUUAACAGCAGAAUCAGCAACAACAACACCAAAAUGGCCCAGAGAUUCAAAUCAAAACCCAAAACCAGCUUGAAAUCCAAAAGAUUUAGCUAAAAGGACUAAGAAAAUUUUCUAUUUCAAACCAUGUUUCAAUCUUAUGAGGAAUCAGAAAUGAAAAGUUUUUUUUUGAAGUUUUUCUCAAAAUUUCUCGGAUGUGAACCUCUUCUAGAAGAAAAUAGAGCCUUUUGCAGUAAACUUAGAAUGAGAAUAUGUAGAGAACUUUAGGUCUUUUUUAG